UACGUAGGGACCGAGCGUUGUCCGGAAUCAUUGGGCGUAAGGAGCGUGUAGGCGGCUUGCUAAGUCUUGCGUGAAAUCUCGGGGCUCAACCCCGAGCGGUCGUGGGAAACUGGCAGGCUAGAGUGCGGGAGAGGAGAAUGGAAUUCCUGGUGUAGCGGUGAAAUGCGCAGAUAUCAGGAAGAACACCCGUGGCGAAGGCGGUUCUCUGGAACGCAACUGACGCUGAGACGCGAAAGCGUGGGGAGCAAACAGG
RNAcentral lists this ribosomal RNA (253 nucleotides) under uncultured bacterium. RNAcentral's name for it is "partial 16S ribosomal RNA". It matches the Rfam family "Bacterial small subunit ribosomal RNA", at positions 524 to 776 of the family's 1533-position model. The record is from RNAcentral.